This 362-nucleotide unclassified non-coding RNA is filed under the name soil metagenome. RNAcentral's name for it is "partial contains 5.8S ribosomal RNA, internal transcribed spacer 2, and large subunit ribosomal RNA". The stretch from base 1 to 120 matches the Rfam family "5.8S ribosomal RNA", at positions 35 to 154 of the family's 154-position model. The record is from RNAcentral.
GAUGAAGAACGUAGCGAAAUGCGAUAAGUAAUGUGAAUUGCAGAAUUCAGUGAAUCAUCGAAUCUUUGAACGCACCUUGCGCUCCUUGGUAUUCCGAGGAGCAUGCCUGUUUGAGUGUCAUUAAUAUAUCAACCGUCUCUUUUUUGAGUUGUUUGGAUGUGGGGGUUUGCUGGCCUCUUAAAUGAUUCAGCUCCCCUGAAAUGCAUUAGCAGAACAACCUGUUCAUUAGCGUGAUAAUUAUCUAUGCUAUUGAAUGUGAGGGCAGUUCAGCUUUCUAACCGUCCUUGGACAAUUCAUCAUUAAUGUGACCUCAAAUCAGGUAGGACUACCCGCUGAACUUAAGCAUAUCAAUAAGCGGAGGA